UACGGAGGGUGCAAGCGUUAUUCGGAAUCACUGGGCGUAAAGGGCGCGUAGGCGGCCUGGUAAGUCAGGGGUGAAAUCCCACGGCUCAACCGUGGAAUUGCCUUUGAAACUGCUGGGCUUGGAUCCUGGAGAGGGUGGCGGAAUUCCUGGUGUAGGAGUGAAAUCCGUAGAUAUCAGGAGGAACACCGGUGGCGAAGGCGGCCACCUGGACAGGUAUCGACGCUGAGGCGCGAAAGUGUGGGGAGCAAACAGG
RNAcentral lists this ribosomal RNA (253 nucleotides) under uncultured microorganism. RNAcentral describes it as "partial 16S ribosomal RNA". It matches the Rfam family "Bacterial small subunit ribosomal RNA", at positions 524 to 776 of the family's 1533-position model. The record is from RNAcentral.